RNAcentral lists this ribosomal RNA (486 nucleotides) under uncultured bacterium. RNAcentral's name for it is "partial 16S ribosomal RNA". It matches the Rfam family "Bacterial small subunit ribosomal RNA", at positions 899 to 1397 of the family's 1533-position model. The record is from RNAcentral.
ACUCAAAUGAAUUGACGGGGACUUGCACAAGCGGUGGAUGAUGCGGCUCAAUUCGAUGACAAACGAAGAACCUCACCAGGGUUUGAAAUUCUACUGUAAGCCUUAGGAAACUUUGGCCCCCGCAAGGCAGUAGUUCAGGUGAUGCAUGGUCGUCGUCAGUUCGUGGCUUGAGUUGUUCCCUUCAGUGGGGUAACGAACGCAACCCUCGUUGCCUGUUUUAUAUGUCAGGCGAGACUGCCCCCUCACGGGGGAGGAAGGUGAGGAUGACGCCAGAUCAGCAUGUCCCUCUGAUACCCUGGGCUGCACGCAUCAUACAAUGCACGUGACAACGAGAAGCAAUACCGUAAGGUGGAGCAAAUCUUUAUAAACACGUGCCCAGUUCGGAUUGAGGGCUGCAACUCGCCCUCAUGAAGCCGGAAUCGCUAGUAAUCGCGGGUCAGCUAUACCGCGGUGAAUACGUUCUCAAGUCUUGUACACACCGCCCGU